UGUGACUGCGUACCUUUUGUAUAAUGGGUCAGCGACUUACAUUCAGUGGCAAGGUUAACCGAAUAGGGGAGCCGUAGAGAAAUCGAGUCCGAAUAGGGCGUCCAGUCGCUGGGUGUAGACCCGAAACCAAGUGAUCUAUCCAUGGCCAGGAUGAAGGUGCCGUAACAGGUACUGGAGGUCCGAACCGACUAGUGUUGCAAAACUAGCGGAUGAGCUGUGGAUAGGGGUGAAGGCUAAACAAACUUGGAAAUAG
This 253-nucleotide ribosomal RNA is filed under the name Platyophrya macrostoma. RNAcentral describes it as "partial Bacterial large subunit ribosomal RNA". It matches the Rfam family "Bacterial large subunit ribosomal RNA", at positions 592 to 848 of the family's 2925-position model. The record is from RNAcentral. Lineage: Eukaryota; Ciliophora; Colpodea; Cyrtolophosidida; Platyophryidae.